Molecule: long non-coding RNA, 878 nt
Filed under: Pan paniscus (pygmy chimpanzee)
Lineage: Eukaryota; Metazoa; Chordata; Mammalia; Primates; Hominidae
Description: lncRNA (ENSPPAG00000045066.1)
Source: RNAcentral
GGGCACAAGAUGGACACAGGAUGUUCCCCAAUCAAGGCUGCUCGGUGGGUUUCAGAAAUGGGAACACCCGUCCCUUCAAGCAUCCAUAGCGUGUGAACUGUAGGACUGUAGGGUGAAGGUCAUCCCAGAGCUCAGCAUUGAAACCAGCCGGAAAUUGUUCAGUUGGGGGAACUAGGGGAAAGGGAACAGUGAUGUGAAGGGCAGAGGCAGUGGUGGGAAGCCUGUGUGUGGCCGACGCAUGCUUUUACGCUGUCAUCACGGCCUUGCUUUCUAUAGCAGGGAUCUGAGAAGCAGGCAGGCAGCUGCUCUGCCUGAGACUGUCAGGAGUUGGUGGAUAUGAAUCCAUGUCUGAAGCCCAAGCUCUCGCUACUCUGCUGUCUCCCUGAGGGGUGCAUGAAGGCCCCAGCCCAGUCAGUGACACAGAGGUUGGGAAGACCAGGGCAUGAAGCUUCUGUGCUUGGAGAACAGGAGGGCUUGUGGAGCUGUGGUUGAUGGCAUGUCCAGGAAGCCUGGCCAGGCUGGGGUCUGGCAACAGCCUCACCACGAUGGCAUGGCGGUGGGCCCGGCCUCUACCCGCUGCGCCACAGCUCCUGGCUCCUGGCUCCAGGUCAUCUCUGCCCACAGCCAGCGUCUCUGAGCAGCCUUGAUUGGGAGGCGUCCUGUGCCCAUCUCGUGCCCCCCGUCCUUCUCCUGCGUCCGGGUUCUGGUUCUGCCGCCUCCUCCGCACGCUGCUCACCAGCCUGCUAAGUGGAUGUGAAUAAACAAUCAUGCAGGGUUUGGUGCAUUCUUUCCUGGAACAAGGAGGACUUGUGGUCAAAUUUAGGACAUUCAAUCCUUGUCUUGAAUUCCUGACAAAAAUCCUCCCAGGGUGACAGCUA